CGGAGUAUGGUGGAAUGGUAGACACGUAUGCCUUAGGAGCAUAUGCAGUAAUGCGUGUGGGUUCGAGUCCCACUACUCCGA
Molecule: transfer RNA, 81 nt
Filed under: Bacteriophage sp.
Also listed under: 1 other name
Description: tRNA-Leu
Rfam family: tRNA
About the family: Transfer RNA (tRNA) molecules are approximately 80 nucleotides in length. Their secondary structure includes four short double-helical elements and three loops (D, anti-codon, and T loops). Further hydrogen bonds mediate the characteristic L-shaped molecular structure. tRNAs have two regions of fundamental functional importance: the anti-codon, which is responsible for specific mRNA codon recognition, and the 3' end, to which the tRNAs corresponding amino acid is attached (by aminoacyl-tRNA synthetases). tRNAs cope with the degeneracy of the genetic code in two manners: having more than one tRNA (with a specific anti-codon) for a particular amino acid; and 'wobble' base-pairing, i.e. permitting non-standard base-pairing at the 3rd anti-codon position.
Source: RNAcentral